AACGAACGCUGGCGGCAUGCCUAACACAUGCAAGUCGAACGAGACCUUCGGGUCUAGUGGCGCACGGGUGCGUAACGCGUGGGAAUCUGCCCUUGGGUUCGGAAUAACAGUUAGAAAUGACUGCUAAUACCGGAUAAUGUCUUCGGACCAAAGAUUUAUCGCCCAGGGAUGAGCCCGCGUAGGAUUAGCUAGUUGGUGAGGUAAAGGCUCACCAAGGCGACGAUCCUUAGCUGGUCUGAGAGGAUGAUCAGCCACACUGGGACUGAGACACGGCCCAGACUCCUACGGGAGGCAGCAGUGGGGAAUAUUGGACAAUGGGCGAAAGCCUGAUCCAGCAAUGCCGCGUGAGUGAUGAAGGCCUUAGGGUUGUAAAGCUCUUUCAGUGGGGAAGAUAAUGACUGUACCCACAGAAGAAGCCCCGGCUAACUCCGUACCAGCAGCCGC
RNAcentral lists this ribosomal RNA (444 nucleotides) under uncultured bacterium. RNAcentral's name for it is "bacterial SSU rRNA". It matches the Rfam family "Bacterial small subunit ribosomal RNA", at positions 29 to 518 of the family's 1533-position model. The record is from RNAcentral.